GUUGAAGUGAAAAGUUGGAGCGGUUUUAUGGUUUUAUCCGCAGCAGAGGGCAGAAAUGAUAAGCCUGAAAUGCGGGAUUAUGUUCACGUGUAUUUCCUCCACAUUCUCCCACAUUCUCCCACAAGGCUCCACAUCCACAGCAACCCAGACCAGGAUCAAGCACUUACUGAAAAUGAGUGAAAGAUGUCAGCGCUUUGUAACACUCAGAAGUUUUCUGAUAUGGGAAAGUAUUCAGGACAAAGGAGUUUCCAGUUACUCAGGACACAGGACAAGCUAAAAAAAAUUUGUUGUAUUAACUUCAAGAGAGAGGAAAGAAAGACACUGGUGAGAUUACAACUGAUUAUAGUUGCUAUAAUGUAAAUGAUACCGGGAAAUAACUUGUUUUGUGGAUGUCGUUUCACAACAUAAAAUAUAACUACAGAUGGACAAAAUGCAUGAUGAUUCUUUAUACAAGCAUGUAAUCAUUGGCAAAUCACUGUAUAAGAGGAACAUCCUGUUUUAGGGAAACAAUCAACCUCGGGGAGGUAACAGUAUCUCCGCCUCGCAUCGGGCCACUUCACACA
Long non-coding RNA from Ictalurus punctatus (channel catfish), 563 nucleotides. RefSeq lists it as uncharacterized. The record is from RefSeq and is a predicted model, not a curated record. The transcript has 3 exons. Lineage: Eukaryota; Metazoa; Chordata; Actinopteri; Siluriformes; Ictaluridae.